This is a non-coding RNA of Delphinapterus leucas (beluga whale), 1887 nucleotides long. The record is from RefSeq and is a predicted model, not a curated record. Lineage: Eukaryota; Metazoa; Chordata; Mammalia; Artiodactyla; Monodontidae.
UUAAAUGUUAAAGCUAAUUCAAAUACAAAAAAAAUACUGUGUGGGCUGAUGCUGGCUGUUUUGUAAGCUCUGGUCUAGCCAGACGCUGAGCAGCACUGCCGAGGAAGGGGCAAGCGGAGGGAAAUGGGCCCACAAAGAGGCUGAGAAGGAGCAGCCCAGAGAGGCAGGAAGGAAGCCAGAGAGAGGCAGCAAUGCUGCCUCUUCCAGGAAGGCCUCCUGACCAGCCCCUUUUGCCAAAAGACAAGGGCAGGUCCCGGCUAAAGAACUCACACGUGCUCCCCGUGACGUAAAUUCUGGGAGACGCAUCAGUUUCACGAGGUGAUGGAGGGCGCAUGAAAGCGAAGAUAAAGGGGUACCAGACAAAGAAACAAGUCAUCAUCUAUGGAGAGAGUGGGUGUUUUGCGGUUGCCCAGUGAUACUGACUGAAGCGGAUGUUACGUAAGAUUGUUUGCAUCCUGCGGCGGACCGUCCUGACGUGGUGGUGAGCAUCACAUCCAUUCCGUGUAUCCUUUCCCACCAGGUGUGGCCUGCCUCUCCCGCCGCCCCCCUCCCCCCGCAGCAGGGUCCUGCGUGGGAUGCAGGGUCCGCCCGUCCAGGAACGCCUGCAGCAGAUCUUGACGUGAGGGGAAAGUAACUUGGAUCACGCCAGACUCUGCAGUGGGCGUUUACCUAUCACAGUACCACCUGAAGUCACCCCCCGUCUGUGCUGUACUCGCUUAGCCCUUGUCCUACCGUGACCCUCCUGGCCCCUUCUCUUCUUCAGGAUACACGCGCCCCAUCCCCCGGGGCCUUCUCCCCCUCCGGCAGUCCUCUGGGAUGUUCUCAGUGGCAGGCAAACCUGCUUCUGCUGUGCGUGCUGGGGGCGCCAGCAGGGGAGGUUCCCGCCAGCUGCCCAGCUUCACCUCCCCACACCCCAGCACCGUAGCCCCAAAUUCAGGGGAUCCUGUCCUGUUCCACCAUGCUCCAGCUCUGUCCCAUGGAGGUUCUGAGAUGUCUUAGAAUAAUAGACUUCAUUAUUAUUCAGGCACGGUGAGGCCAAAGGAUUGGAAGCCUACUGUCUCAACAAGAUGGUUUGCCAUACUCACAGGUUCCAAGGGCAGGGGGCACUGUCUCUUCCUGGCUGGCAGUUGACUGCCCUUCUAGAUGUAUCCUCAUGAGGGAGACAGAGUCAGAGACAGAGACACAGGGUGGGGGGCACUCUGGAGUGCUUUCCUCUUCCUACCAGGUCACUAAUCCCCACGUGAGGGCUCCACCCUCAUGACUUAAUCACCUCCCAAAGGCCCCACCUCCUAAUACAAUGGUACAUUGGGAGUUAGGGCUUCAACGUGUGAUUUGGGGGUUGAGGGGUGGGAGCACAUUCAGUCCACAGCACCCUACAAGAAAGGAACGCCCACUCUCUUCUGCAAAGUACGUUUGCAAGAACCCCACCCUCUUAUGAGUACCUUACCUCAAGACGGGUGAUGGGGUAAUUGUGCCACUCUGGACCUCUGCAUGUCUGAAGCUUCUCUUUAGAACAGGCAGACAUUUAUCACCUAUGCACUUUCCCACUGGGACCUCAAUCAAAGGGCAGAGAUGGGGGAAAUUCCCUUUAAAAAAAAACAACCAAGCUUUAUUGAGGUAUAAGUAUUGAUAUACACAGAACUGCAUUUAAUGUAUACUAUUUGAUGACUUUGGACAAAUGCAAACACUGUGAUACCAUCACCACAAUCAAGGUAACGGAUGUUUUCAACACCUCCCAGGCUUUUCUUAUUCCCGCUUUUAACAUCCUUUUAUGCUCUCCUUUGAGAAGGUUUUUUUAAAUUUAUUUUAAAAAUUAUUUAUUUAUUUUUGGCCAAACCGCGAGGCAUGCGGGAUCUUAGUUCCCCGACCAGGGAUCGAACCCGGGCC